UGGCCUCAAAUUUCCAAAGCCCCCUCUCCUUCCCUUUUUGCCCUAGUUUCUUGAAACUAACACUCGCCUUUCUCUUUCCCUUCAUGCACAAAGAUGGAACCUGACGACUAAGAACCUGCGAUUAAGAACAAACGCUCUGAAGCAAUAGGAAACAAUUGGAGUGAAGAAUUUCAUGCUUUGCAAAAACCCAAUAGUUUAGGAAUUUUAUCCCUUUUGCAAGAAAAAAGCUCUUCUUUUUGAUUUUGUGAUUCUUGACACGGGUUUGGUUCGAAGUUGCUUGUUUUGUUGGAGAUCUAGGGUUUAGACUUAUGUUCAUCGAGUUUCUUUUAAUUUAGUUAAAUUAUGUAUUAUCCUUGUUCAAUUUCUUUUAAAUUAAUUAAGUAUAUUGCAUUUAUUUUGAUUUUCAAGUGGAUUUUAGAUCUGUUUUUUUAUUCCCUUCAAUUAAAGAUUUGGAGCUUAGCCGUUUUGAUUCAACAGUAAAGAAAAGAAAGGAACAAUGGGGUUCUGGUGUCGCUGCAGUUGCAUUUAACCCUACUUAUUGAAGUUUCACUAAAACAAUGUGAUCGCGGUUCCAGAUGCUAAUUUUCAUUCUCUCCCUUCCACUCGGCAAAAACAACAAUAUAUCCUUAGAUUAGAUAACAUGACUACUAGAAGGUACAAAUAUCAGGAGGCGAGAACAUGUGUAAGAUUAUCAUGUGAUAUGCUGGGAAAAGGAAUAAGUCAACCCCGGUAAAUAUUGGACAUAUUACAUGUCGGACGGUAAACAGGGUGAUAUAGGUUUCCACCCGUCGCGCGCCGCCGCAACGCGCGACAGGCAAAAUCCUAGUUUGUUGAAAACUAAAAUCUAAGUCGGAGAUGAAGUUUUCCUCAAAAGCAUUCUAAACUCUACCGAGACUGUAGCAAGACUGUAAGAGGAAGGGUCUAGAGCUUGGACCCAAAUGAUCUAGUUGGUGGUACAGAGAUUGAACCAGAAUGGUGUGAGGUAAACGUUCAAGUACCGAUAAAAAAAGAUGAAAACUUGGUAAGACCAUAUGGUUUAUUUUCUACAAUUCAAGAUUGUAUUGGUGCAUCCAUCGCAUGGCCGUAUCCAUUCAUCUCGGUAGUCCAUGAGGAUUGAGGACGCAUGAUGACUCAAGAUUUUAUGCUUCUUUUUUCUUUAAUUGCUUAAUUUCUUUGUUAAAUGUUAAGACUCUAUGUCAGAUAAUGUUAUAACUUAUUUAUGGUUGGUGUUUUUGUUAUGAACAUGCUUAUUUGAAAUAUAAUGAAGUUUUAUUUCUUUC
This 1280-nucleotide long non-coding RNA is filed under the name Helianthus annuus (common sunflower). RNAcentral's name for it is "hypothetical non coding rna". Lineage: Eukaryota; Viridiplantae; Streptophyta; Magnoliopsida; Asterales; Asteraceae. The record is from RNAcentral.